This 460-nucleotide ribosomal RNA is filed under the name uncultured bacterium. RNAcentral's name for it is "partial 16S ribosomal RNA". It matches the Rfam family "Bacterial small subunit ribosomal RNA", at positions 338 to 795 of the family's 1533-position model. The record is from RNAcentral.
CCUACGGGUGGCAGCAGUGAUGAAUAUUGGUCAAUGGGCGAGAGCCUGAACCAGCCAAGUCGCGUGAGGGAAGACGGUCCUAUGGAUUGUACACCUCUUUUGUCGGGGAGCAAAACGGCCUCGUGAGGCCACCCGUGAUAGUACCCGCAGAAAAAGCCUCGGCUAACUCCGUGCCAGCAGCCGCGGUCAUACUGAGGAUGCGCGCGUUAUCCGGAUUUAUUGGGUUUAAAGGGUGCGUAGGCGGACUGGAAAGUCAGCGGUAAAAUCGAGAGGCUCAACCUCUUUACGCCGUUGAACCUGUCGGUCUGGAGUGGGCGAGAAGUAGGCGGAAUGCGUGGUGUAGCGGUGAAAGGCAGAGAUAUCACGCAGAACUCCGAUUGCGAAGGAAGCAUACCGGCGCCCGACUGACGCUGAGGCACGAAAGCGUGGGUAUCGAACAGGAUUAGAUACCCCAGUAGUC